Molecule: ribosomal RNA, 253 nt
Filed under: uncultured bacterium
Lineage: Bacteria
Description: partial 16S ribosomal RNA
Rfam family: Bacterial small subunit ribosomal RNA
Source: RNAcentral
UACGUAGGGGGCUAGCGUUGUCCGGAAUCAUUGGGCGUAAAGCGCGUGUAGGCGGUCCGGUAAGUCCGCUGUGAAAGUCGGGGGCUCAACCCUCGAAUGCCGGUGGAUACUGUCGGGCUAGAGUGCGGGAGAGGCGAGUGGAAUUCCUGGUGUAGCGGUGAAAUGCGCAGAUAUCGGGAGGAACACCUAUGGCGAAGGCAGCUCGCUGGGACGUUACUGACGCUGAGACGCGAAAGCGUGGGGAGCAAACAGG